AGUAAAAGUCGUAACAAGGUUUCCGUAGGUGAACCUGCGGAAGGAUCAUUACCGAGUGAGGGCCCUCUGGGUCCAACCUCCCACCCGUGUUUAUUUUACCUUGUUGCUUCGGCGGGCCCGCCUUUACUGGCCGCCGGGGGGCUCACGCCCCCGGGCCCGCGCCCGCCGAAGACACCCUCGAACUCUGUCUGAAGAUUGAAGUCUGAGUGAAAAUAUAAAUUAUUUAAAACUUUCAACAACGGAUCUCUUGGUUCCGGCAUCGAUGAAGAACGCAGCGAAAUGCGAUACGUAAUGUGAAUUGCAAGUUCAGUGAAUCAUCGAGUCUUUGAACGCACAUUGCGCCCCCUGGUAUUCCGGGGGGCAUGCCUGUCCGAGCGUCAUUGCUGCCCUCAAGCCCGGCUUGUGUGUUGGGCCCCGUCCUCCGAUUCCGGGGGACGGGCCCGAAAGGCAGCGGCGGCACCGCGUCCGGUCCUCGAGCGUAUGGGGCUUUGUCACCCGCUCUGUAGGCCCGGCCGGCGCUUGCCGAUCAACCCAAAUUUUUAUCCAGGUUGACCUCGGAUCAGGUAGGGAUACCCGCUGAACUUAAGCAUAUCAAUAAGCGGAGGAAAAGAAACCAACAGGGAUUGCCCCAGUAACG
RNAcentral lists this ribosomal RNA (637 nucleotides) under uncultured fungus. RNAcentral describes it as "eukaryotic LSU rRNA". The stretch from base 228 to 380 matches the Rfam family "5.8S ribosomal RNA". The record is from RNAcentral. Lineage: Eukaryota; Fungi.